This 700-nucleotide long non-coding RNA is filed under the name Carica papaya (papaya). Its description in RNAcentral is "long non-coding RNA (CPAP_LNC002799)". The record is from RNAcentral. Lineage: Eukaryota; Viridiplantae; Streptophyta; Magnoliopsida; Brassicales; Caricaceae.
UAACGCGUAAUACUUUUUAGAAUUCAUCAGGUAGCAAAAAGAGAGAGAGUUUAUAGAGCUUAGGCAACCAGAAUAUUCUAGCGGUGGAAUAUGCACAAUAAUUCAUAGAGUUUGGUCGAUUUGGGCCCGAUGUAAAGAUGAACAAAGUGAAGAAGGCCCAGAGGUCCAAGAGGGAUCUGAACCUUGACCUUUACAAUAAGGUAGCCAUGUUCACUCUACCCACGUAACAAGGGGUCUUGGAAAAGGCCCAACUCAUUGAAGCCCUACAUAAGUAGGGUGAGAGUUUCAGGGCCUUCAUGCCCAACAAGAGACCUAUACCAAUUCUCAGCCAGUAAGAUAGGAAACGAAAGGGGGUACAGCUUGCUCCGUCUUGGACUCCAACUACAACACCAGCAUAAUCUUGCCAACACUGGGACAAAAAUCAUGUUGGCAAGCUCUGUUAAUGUCUCACUCAUGGGUGUUUCAAGUGUGGGAGUCCCUAGCAUAUGAUCUGCGACCGUCCAGAGGCUAAGGGAUAGUCCAAGCCACUGGUGGAAGGUAGAGUGUUUGCCAUCUCUGCACAGGAUGUAGAGGCAGCGCCAUAUGUGGUUCAGGGUAUAUUUUCUACCUCUAAAUAUUCUACUAAGGUUUUAAUUAACUCUGGAUCUAUACACACAUUUGUAUCACACAUAUUUGCAUCAUAUUUGAAUAUCAAUCUUAU